RNAcentral lists this ribosomal RNA (423 nucleotides) under uncultured prokaryote. RNAcentral's name for it is "bacterial SSU rRNA". It matches the Rfam family "Bacterial small subunit ribosomal RNA", at positions 355 to 776 of the family's 1533-position model. RNAcentral also lists the same sequence under 1 other name. The record is from RNAcentral.
UGAGGAAUAUUGGUCAAUGGUCUGACGACUGAACCAGCCAUGCCGCGUGAAGGUGACGGCCCUAUGGGUCUUAAACUUCUUUUGCAAGGGAGCAAUAAGCCUCACGUGUGGGGCGAUGAGAGUACCUUACGAAUAAGCAUCGGCUAACUCCGUGCCAGCAGCCGCGGUAAUACGGGGGAUGCAAGCGUUAUCCGGAUUUAUUGGGUUUAAAGGGUGCGUAGGCUGUCUGGUAAGUCAGCGGUGAAAUUUAGGGGCUCAACCUCUACCGUGCCGUUGAUACUGCCAGGCUAGAAUGCGGAUGCCGUGGGAGGAAUGUGUGGUGUAGCGGUGAAAUGCAUAGAUAUCACACAGAACACCGAUUGCGAAGGCAUCUCACGAAUCCGCAAUUGACGCUGAUGCACGAAAGCGUGGGGAUCAAACAGG